Molecule: non-coding RNA, 683 nt
Organism: Penaeus vannamei (Pacific white shrimp)
Lineage: Eukaryota; Metazoa; Arthropoda; Malacostraca; Decapoda; Penaeidae
Source: RefSeq, a predicted model, not a curated record
AAUAUCUUUGAAAGCGGUACUGCUAAUGAAAUUACUCGUAGUUUGGAUGAGAAACUUACGUCAAUGAUAGUCUUGAUUUCAUGUUACGACCAUGACCAGCUUAAUUUCAGUGAAUGUGACGUGAAUAAUUAAUUUGCAUGGACUGGAAAAGAUUGUUGUGCUGGUUUGAUUGCUCCUUUAGAACCGAAAAAGUCAAUGUGGAACAAGGAAUGUCUAUGUAAGUGUGUUACAACCUGAAGUGGAGCCUCCUUCCUCCUCUUGACAAAAGUCAGAGCGACCUUACUUCGCCAACGUCAGAGGGAGGCGCCUCACGCGGCCACACUCGUACGGGUGGCUGUAACCCGAGGAAGUACGGACACCCCCGAGCUCGUUCCCUCGCGACCGCCCACAUCCCUGUCUACCACUGCCUCGUUGCUCUACCUUCGCCGCCCUAUCAUUUGGAAGCACCCUUAAUUUCACCUACUAGAUCUUCGACUACCGGCAAUAUGUCACUUGUGUGGAUGAACAUCAUCCAUUACUACUGCAGUAAGCGUAGGAGAAAGGUAAGACGGACAGAUAUUGCUCAGUUUGUCAUUUAUUUUAAGUACCUCCUUGUGUGAUAUAGAUUUGCAGCAAUAACUUUCUAAGUAUAUUAUCUGCCUCAUGACUAUCUUAGUCAUGACACCGGUACUUUGAUUUGUGAA